Molecule: ribosomal RNA, 950 nt
Filed under: uncultured beta proteobacterium
Lineage: Bacteria; Pseudomonadati; Pseudomonadota; Betaproteobacteria
Description: bacterial SSU rRNA
Rfam family: Bacterial small subunit ribosomal RNA
Source: RNAcentral
AGAGUUUGAUCCUGGCUCAGAUUGAACGCUGAUGCUUUACACUGCAAGUCGAACGGUAACAGGCCUUCGGGCGCUGACGAGUGGCGAACGGGUGAGUAAUAUAUCGGAACGUGCCCAGUCGUGGGGGAUAACGUAGCGAAAGUUACGCUAAUACCGCAUACGAUCUACGGAUGAAAGCGGGGGAUCGCAAGACCUCGCGCGAUUGGAGCGGCCGAUAUCAGAUUAGGUAGUUGGUGGGGUAAAGGCUCACCAAGCCAACGAUCUGUAGCUGGUCUGAGAGGACGACCAGCCACACUGGAACUGACGGUCCAGACUCCUACGGGAGGCAGCAGUGGGGAAUUUUGGACAAUGGACGCAAGUCUGAUCCAGCCAUUCCGCGUGCAGGAUGAAGGCCCUCGGGUUGUAAACUGCUUUUGUACGGAACGAAAAGGUUUCCAUUAAUACUGGGAGCUCAUGACGGUACCGUAAGAAUAAGCACCGGCUAACUACGUGCCAGCAGCCGCGGUAAUACGUAGGGUGCAAGCGUUAAUCGGAAUUACUGGGCGUAAAGCGUGCGCAGGCGGUUGUGUAAGACAGGCGUGAAAUCCCCGGGCUCAACCUGGGAAUGGCGCUUGUGACUGCACAGCUGGAGUGCGGCAGAGGGGGAUGGAAUUCCGCGUGUAGCAGUGAAAUGCGUAGAUAUGCGGAGGAACACCGAUGGCGAAGGCAAUCCCCUGGGCCUGCACUGACGCUCAUGCACGAAAGCGUGGGGAGUAAACAGGAUUAGAUACCCUGGUAGUCCACGCCCUAAACGAUGUCAACUGGUUGUUGGGUCUUAGCUGACUCAGUAACGAAGCUAACGCGUGAAGUUGACCGCCUGGGGAGUACGGCCGCAAGGUUGAAACUCAAAGGAAUUGACGGGGACCCGCACAAGCGGUGGAUGAUGUGGUUUAAUUCGAUGCAACGCGAAA